Drosophila serrata is the source of this 870-nucleotide long non-coding RNA. Lineage: Eukaryota; Metazoa; Arthropoda; Insecta; Diptera; Drosophilidae. The record is from RefSeq and is a predicted model, not a curated record.
ACUCUGGCGAACCAUCGAAAAGAAAACAGCGAUUACUUCCGUUCAGCGCGUCGAGCUCUUGGCAAUUUUCCGAAACAAAUUACAAAUUCGAAGGAAUCGUGAAAAGUGCGACCGCCGCCGCUUUGCCCAGUGCCAAAUUGAACUAUUGAUGAAUCCGCCGCGUGUCCAAAAGUCGUGUUUUAUGUUUUAGUGAGUAAAGUGAGUUGCAAACAGUCAAGCCGCUAAGAAGUGCCGAAGAGCGAGAAUAAAAUUAAGAAACGGCGACAGACGGAGAAUGUGCAAAAAGGAAGCAGACGCAAAUUCAACUUGUGUCGGUUUCUGGUGUCUCCCUGCCUCGCUCUCGCUCGCAUCGUCCGCAUCUGGCCGUGUUAUGUGUGAGUGGUGUCUGUGUGGCGUCGCCUAAAGUGCAUGUGAAAAAUAUUCAAGAAUCCGAUCGAAGCGGGCGACCAAGAGUUAUAUGGAUGUAAAGGCUAAAACCGUGGUUGCCGGAAAAGUGUGAAAAUCACUGGAGACGGCGGCCCUGAAUAGGGUGAAGCCAAAUACACCGCAGCCGCCUGCAGUGCGUGCACUUGUAUAUGUGUGUGCAUGUGCGCAAUUAAGUGUGUAUGUGUGUGGAAGUAAAGCAAAAGCAAGGAGAAGAAAAAAACUGUUUUCGCAGCCGGGGUACAAACUCCAAUUGGAAUCUGUAGGAGCUGGAAGAAAAGCCAUUCAGCGCAUGCGUGGCUGCAAAAAUCAAACUCCAAAAGUGAAUUGAAUGGAUUCGAAUGGACGAGCGGAAUCACUGAUUGUCCAAUGGAUUUCGACUUUCGCAAAAUUUGCGCGCUUUUCACACUCGAUUAAUGGAAUUAAUGUAAAUAUGUAAAACGAAGC